GACGAACGCUGGCGGCGUGCUUAACGCAUGCAAGUCGAACGGAAAGGCCCUGCUUUUGUGGGGUGCUCGAGUGGCGAACGGGUGAGUAACACGUGAGUAACCUGCCCUUGACUUUGGGAUAACUUCGGGAAACUGGGGCUAAUACCGGAUAGGAGCUCCUGCUGCAUGGUGGGGGUUGGAAAGUUUCGGCGGUUGGGGAUGGACUCGCGGCUUAUCAGCUUGUUGGUGGGGUAGUGGCUUACCAAGGCUUUGACGGGUAGCCGGCCUGAGAGGGUGACCGGCCACAUUGGGACUGAGAUACGGCCCAGACUCCUACGGGAGGCAGCAGUGGGGAAUAUUGCACAAUGGGCGGAAGCCUGAUGCAGCAACGCCGCGUGCGGGAUGACGGCCUUCGGGUUGUAAACCGCUUUCGCCUGUGACGAAGCGUGAGUGACGGUAAUGGGUAAAGAAGCACCGGCUAACUACGUG
This 468-nucleotide ribosomal RNA is filed under the name uncultured bacterium. RNAcentral describes it as "partial 16S ribosomal RNA". It matches the Rfam family "Bacterial small subunit ribosomal RNA", at positions 28 to 507 of the family's 1533-position model. The record is from RNAcentral.